RNAcentral lists this ribosomal RNA (522 nucleotides) under uncultured bacterium. RNAcentral's name for it is "bacterial SSU rRNA". It matches the Rfam family "Bacterial small subunit ribosomal RNA", at positions 24 to 518 of the family's 1533-position model. The record is from RNAcentral.
UCAGGACGAACGCUGGCGGCGUGCCUAAUACAUGCAAGUCGAACGGUCUUUCUAUAGAAGCUUGCUUCCACUGAGAAGAUAGUGGCGAACGGGUGAGUAACACGUGGGUAACCUGCCCAUAAGAGGGGGAUAACAUCCGGAAACGGGUGCUAAUACCGCAUAGUUUUCUUGAUCGCAUGAUCGGGAAAGGAAAGACGGCCUUUGUGCUGUCGCUUAUGGAUGGACCCGCGGCGUAUUAGUUAGUUGGUGAGGUAACGGCUCACCAAGACGAUGAUACGUAGCCGACCUGAGAGGGUGAUCGGCCACAUUGGGACUGAGACACGGCCCAAACUCCUACGGGAGGCAGCAGUAGGGAAUCUUCCGCAAUGGACGAAAGUCUGACGGAGCAACGCCGCGUGAGUGAAGAAAAGGUUUUCGGAUCGUAAAACUCUGUUGUCAGAGAAGAACAAGUUGGAGAGUAACUGCUCCAGCCUUGACGGUAUCUGACCAGAAAGCCACGGCUAACUACGUGCCAGCCGCCGC